RNAcentral lists this long non-coding RNA (1937 nucleotides) under Canis lupus dingo (dingo). RNAcentral's name for it is "lncRNA (ENSCAFG00020026492.1)". The record is from RNAcentral. Lineage: Eukaryota; Metazoa; Chordata; Mammalia; Carnivora; Canidae.
AUGGAUAUUUUAAAAUUUACCAAAUGUAAUUGUUUUUUCCUUAAGGCGGAUAUUCUAAACCUACCCAAAUUCUUGCUGGUGAUAGGCCUGAUAAUCAUUGGUUGCAUUAUGAUAGCAAAAGUAUACCAAGAACCAAAAAAGAAUGGGAGUCAAGCUGCUUUGUGGAGAAAACUCACUGGGGAUACUAUACCUGGCCGCAGAAUAUGGUUAUUUAUGCUGGAGUGGAAGAGCAGCCUAAGCUUGGCAGAAGCAGGGAGGAUUUGACAGAGGUAAGUAAGCAUUCUAUUCUCACUAUGUGUAAGCACUCACCUUGGUUCACCUGCAUCUUACUCUUGGCCUCUAAUUUUUUUCAAAUGGAGUUUGUGGGAUUUUUUUCCCCAGUCAGUGUAUUUCAGGAUAGCACUGGGUAAAUACUGGUAAAUGUGUACUCACUUACUCCACCCCCUUGUAUCCCCCAUCCCCCACCCCACUGCAUUCUGUUAGGGCCAGUUGGCACAAGUCUUCAUAUUUAAGAUUACUCAUGUUACUACCUCACUUUACUUGGGUACUGCUUUAUAUAGUUCUCUGCAUGUUUCUUGUGUCUGUCCUAUGUGGUAACAAGCUUCUUGAAGGCAGAGAUAAAGACUGGCUUUUAGGUGGGUUUUGUCAUUUGCUGUUGUUUGCUUUUAGUUUUUUAUUGCAUAUAAAUGAUGAGUACUCAGUGAAUAGUUGUUUAUAGAUUUAAGUUGAAACUCCUUAGUUUUCAAUAAGGUUUAUUUCUUUACCAUUUUGGAAGUUAGGGACUUUUAGUGACUUUCUCACUUAAGUUAAUGAUGUAGCUUUUUAUUUUUUAUUUAUUUAUGCGUAAAUGUAUUUUUAAGUAAGCUCUAUGCUGUAUGUGGGGCUCAAACUCAUGACCCUGAGAUGAUAAGUCAAAUGCUGUACUGACUGAGCCAGCCAGGCACCAACUCUUUAUUUUCUAAUUCAACAGUUUACCUUUUAAUUUCUGAUGUUUUAUAAAUAAGGAAAUAAUUUGUUGGCAUUUACAGUUUAGAGGAUUUUCCUAAAUUAUACACCAGAUGGCACAAUAGGACUGUCUUCAAGCAGAACUUGGUAGAUUUUAAUUCAGUUUGAGAAAUGGAAUUCAAACUUGAAGAUCUGAAGGAAAACUUUCGACUAUAAUGGAUUUAACAUUUUUAGGAGAUACUAUUUUGGUUGUAAAAAGCCUCUGAGAAGUAAAAAUGCUUUAAAACAAAAGUAACAGCCCAGUGUUAAUAAUCAAAACUUCACAGUUGAAUUUUGAUGUUUCAGAAUCACGUUCUAAAAUAGAUCUUAAACCCUGAAUGUUGUUUUUUCUUUAACUUUAUAGGCUGAACAGAUUAUAUUUGAUCAUUUUUCUGAUCCUAAAUUUGUUGAACAGUUAAUUACUUUUCUAUCUUUAGAAGACAGAAAAGGAAAAGAUAAGUUUAAUCCUCGCCGUUUUUGCCUCUUUAAGGUAAAUAUGUUAUUUAAUAUCCCUCUUCAUAUAGCUUACUGACUGGUUAGUUUGUUGGCUCAUAAGUUUUAAAGUCAAAGUUUGAGUUUGGUCAUCUGUUUUCAUCUACAGUGGUUCUAGAAAUGAUGCUAAUCAAAUUGAUCUUAGUUUAAGGUCUAGGAGUUUUGAGAAAAAGAAGCUUUUUAGUAUGUGUAUCUCUAAUAUCUGUAAUUAACAGCAUAAGAAAAAAAAUUCAGCAAGACUAUACAUUGAGUGUUUUGAGGUAUGUGUGAUAUUUUUAAAGUCAGAAGGAUUAUUUUGAUUCCAUUCAUUGUAUUUUACUGUGAUCUGUAAAUAACAGUAUUUUUAUUUUAACUUACAGACCUUGUUAAAGCAUUUCUAAAGGGUAGAACACUUGGGGUUUUGUAAGCACAGUAGUGAUGUAGUAAAUAAACACAAGCAUUCUUAGGAUUAUAAUGGAGAU